This 301-nucleotide long non-coding RNA is filed under the name Linum usitatissimum (flax). RNAcentral describes it as "long non-coding RNA (LUSI_LNC000937)". The record is from RNAcentral. Lineage: Eukaryota; Viridiplantae; Streptophyta; Magnoliopsida; Malpighiales; Linaceae.
AUACAUUUCUUGAAGCAGGUAAACCAAAAGACGGCCAGUGAGGUUGAAUCCUAGUGACCACAGGACUAGACUGGUUCUUCUUGUCAUAUGAUUGUCGACUUGGGCCAUUCAGCUUCGGGAUGGUAUCCAGGGAAUCUAUUGGCCUCGGAAUAGGAGGUUUUCCUAAGAUUGACCUGCCACCAGCAACAGUUUGGUCAGGGCUUACCCCAAUUUUAGUAUUCUGUGAGCACAAAUUAUGCGGAGCUGAAGUAUUAAAGCUUUCUUUGAUUACGGACUUCUCAGAUGGAAGUCCAACACCUCC